CGCGUAAUAAGGAAUGCGCGAGCGGCGACGGCGGCGGCUGAGGCGCGGGAGGCAGGCUCCGCGCAGGCGACGGCGGCGCGGCGGCUGAGGCGCGGGCGCCGGGGCGACCGCCGCCACACACACUACCUUGCUACCUUAACCGAACGGACGCGUUGCGAGCAAUCUCGCUGUUUUGUCGGGAAUUUGUAUUUAAUUUCAUAAUCACGAACAUUAUAAGUAAUAAUCACCAGUAUUUCUUUUAUUUUAUGUCCCACAAGAGACAUAAUUUGGCGCCCCCGGGUGGGCCACGAACUGCCUAUUUCGGAAUUACGUCGUCCCUGAUGUCGCUACCGUCUCCAGAGCUAAUUGACAUCAAUCCAAGAAGACUAAACAGAUAUGAAGUAUUGGAACAAAUGAGACAACACUUCUGGAAAAGAUGGCAGUCAGAAUAUGUUACUGAACUCCAGCAUCGUUGCAAAUGGAAAACCCGGUGCAGAGAUUUAAAAGAAGGAGAGCUAGUGAUAAUUAAAGAUGACAAUGUGCCUCCACUAUUAUGGCGACUUGGAAGAGUUCAAAAACUUUACCCAGGCGCAGACGGAGUGCCGCGAGUUGCUGAUAUAAAGACAUCAAGAGGAGUCAUCAGACGCGCACUCAAUCGUAUAUCCCUUCUUCUAGACGACAUUGCUUGAAAGCAGCGCUUUCAAGGGCCCCCAGUAUGUUCGCGCGCGUAAUAAGGAAUGCGCGAGCGGCGACGGCGGCGGCUGAGGCGCGGGAGGCAGGCUCCGCGCAGGCGACGGCGGCGCGGCGGCUGAGGCGCGGGCGCCGGGGCGACCGCCGCCACACACACUACCUUGCUACCUUAACCGAACGGACGCGUUGCGAGCAAUCUCGCUGUUUUGUCGGGAAUUUGUAUUUAAUUUCAUAAUCACGAACAUUAUAAGUAAUAAUCACCA
Molecule: unclassified non-coding RNA, 932 nt
Filed under: Pectinophora gossypiella (pink bollworm)
Lineage: Eukaryota; Metazoa; Arthropoda; Insecta; Lepidoptera; Gelechiidae
Description: uncharacterized LOC126376657
Source: RNAcentral